This 459-nucleotide ribosomal RNA is filed under the name uncultured bacterium. RNAcentral describes it as "partial 16S ribosomal RNA". It matches the Rfam family "Bacterial small subunit ribosomal RNA", at positions 338 to 795 of the family's 1533-position model. The record is from RNAcentral.
CCUACGGGUGGCAGCAGUGAGGAAUAUUGGUCAAUGGGCGGGAGCCUGAACCAGCCAAGUCGCGUGAGGGAAGAAGGUACUGAGUAUUGUAAACCUCUUUUGCCAGGGGACAAAGGCGGCCACGGGUGGCCGUAAGAGGGUACCUGGAGAAAAAGCAUCGGCUAACUCCGUGCCAGCAGCCGCGGUAAUACGGAGGAUGCGAGCGUUAUCCGGAUUUAUUGGGUUUAAAGGGUGCGCAGGCGGCGUGUCAAGUCAGCGGUAAAAUGUCGGGGCUCAACCCCGGCCGGCCGUUGAAACUGGCGUGCUCGAGUUGGAGAGAAGUAUGCGGAAUUCGUGGUGUAGCGGUGAAAUGCGUAGAUAUUUGGAAGAACACAGAUGGCGAAGGCAGCCCCCUGGGACGCAACUGACGCUCAUACACGAAAGCGUGGGGAGCAAACAGGAUUAGAUACCCCAGUAGUC